UGGGUUUGUGAUAAAAAAAGGUUUUGAUUUGGGGGUUGCCAUUUCUAAUGCAUUGAUAGACAUGUACGGUAAAUGUAGCUGUGUUGCUGACGCUUUUGAGGUUUUCCAGACGAUGGAUGAUAAGGAUAUAUUUUCAUGGAACUCAAUAAUUUGUGUGCAUGAACAAUGUGGUAAUCAUGAGGGUACUUUGGGGCUUUUCAAAAGGAUGUUGUCUGCUAGAGUACGUCCUG
This 230-nucleotide unclassified non-coding RNA is filed under the name Hevea brasiliensis (rubber tree). The record is from RNAcentral. Lineage: Eukaryota; Viridiplantae; Streptophyta; Magnoliopsida; Malpighiales; Euphorbiaceae.